RNAcentral lists this ribosomal RNA (253 nucleotides) under uncultured bacterium. Its description in RNAcentral is "partial 16S ribosomal RNA". It matches the Rfam family "Bacterial small subunit ribosomal RNA", at positions 524 to 776 of the family's 1533-position model. The record is from RNAcentral.
UACGAAGGGGGCGAGCGUUGUUCGGAUUUACUGGGCGUAAAGGGCGCGCAGGCGGCUUUGUUUGUCAGGCGUGAAAGCCCCGGGCUUAACCUGGGAACUGCGUUUGAUACGGCAGGGCUAGAGUUCGGGAGAGGAGAGUGGAAUUCCCAGUGUAGAGGUGAAAUUCGUAGAUAUUGGGAAGAACACCAGUGGCGAAGGCGGCUCACUGGCCCGAUACUGACGCUGAGGCACGAAAGCGUGGGGAGCAAACAGG